RNAcentral lists this ribosomal RNA (440 nucleotides) under uncultured bacterium. RNAcentral's name for it is "partial 16S ribosomal RNA". It matches the Rfam family "Bacterial small subunit ribosomal RNA", at positions 338 to 795 of the family's 1533-position model. The record is from RNAcentral.
CCUACGGGAGGCAGCAGUAGGGAAUAUUGCUCAAUGGGGGAAACCCUGAUGCAGCAACGCCGCGUGAAGGAUGAAGUUUUUCGGUUCGUAAAGUUCUUUUGGUAGAGAAGAUAAUGACGGUAUCUAACGAAUAAGCACCGGCUAACUACGUGCCAGCAGCCGCGGUAAUACGGAGGGGGCAAGCGUUACUCGGAUUGACUGGGCGUAAAGAGCGCGUAGGCGGGAGAGCAAGUCUGAUGUGAAAUCCUAUGGCUUAACCAUAGAACUGCAUUUGAAACUGUUAAUCUAGAGUAUGGGAGAGGUAGGCGGAAGUCUUGGUGUAGGGGUGAAAUGCGUAGAUAUCAAGAGGAAUACUCAUUGCGAAGGCGACCUGCUAGAACGUAACUGACGCGGAUGCGCGAAAGCGUGGGGAGCAAACAGGAUUAGAUACCCUGGUAGUC